UACAGAGGUCCCAAGCGUUGUUCGGAUUCACUGGGCGUAAAGGGUGCGUAGGUGGCGAGGUAAGUUUGAUGUGAAAUCUCCGGGCUUAACCCGGAAACUGCAUUGAAUACUAUCUUGCUUGAGGGUUGGAGGGGGGACUGGAAUUCUCGGUGUAGCAGUGAAAUGCGUAGAUAUCGAGAGGAACACCAGUGGCGAAGGCGAGUCCCUGGACAACUCCUGACACUGAGGCACGAAAGCUAGGGGAGCAAACAGG
This 253-nucleotide ribosomal RNA is filed under the name uncultured bacterium. Its description in RNAcentral is "partial 16S ribosomal RNA". It matches the Rfam family "Bacterial small subunit ribosomal RNA", at positions 524 to 776 of the family's 1533-position model. The record is from RNAcentral.